GAGGUCCCAUCGUCACCGAUGGUGGGCACGGGGUUGUGGUAAAGUGGAGUCGGUCUCCACUUUGCGUUUCGGCUCCAUUGUGGGAAUCGGCCUCUCCUCUUCCUGCCCACGGAACAGUGAGUGUCUGUCAGCGCCUCACUGCACCGGCUCUCUGCCUCAGGGGCGACUGUAUGAACUCCUCAACCUGAGCGGCUGUCUCCUGGUCGAGGGAGCUCACCACGUGGUAGUAACAAGUGGCAUCCGAGUUUAUCUGCCGAAUGUGGAAUUGGGCUUCUGCUUGCUGAAACCAUAGAUUACAGACUCCAGUAGCUGAAGUGAAGUUAACUGGACUACAGUCACCUGCUUUUUAUCUUCCACCCUUCUUCAACAAUGGUUUUCAACUCCACUGGGACCUUUCCGUAACAGCCAGGAUGCAGAAGAGCGGAAAACGACAAAUAUUCUUCACCUUUUUAAGAAUUGCAAUAGGGACAAGACGAAAAACUAUACCCCGGUGACUCUUACAUUAGUGGUAGAGAUAUCAUAAAUUGCUGAUAUUACUAGAAAAGAUAUUUAAUGAUAGGAUCAGCUUGCAUCUGAAAAAGCAUAAACAAUUUCAGAGUAGCCAAUAUAGCUUUGCAUGGGCAACGUCAACUCUUGCAAACAUGGCCGAACGUUUUAAGUGACAAAUUCACUUGAUGAGAGCUGGGUAGUGGGUACAGGAUACAAGGACUUUGGUAAAGCUUUCAACAAGAGUCCCACAACAAGAUCCACAGCUUGGAAGCACAUGACUCAAAAGAAAUUUGGUAGAAUAUAUUCAAAAUGUACUCAAUCAGAGAACACAGAAGGUAAUGGUUGAGGGGUGUGAUUCUGACUGGACACCUGUGAACAGUGGGGCCCACAAGGAAUUCUACUCUUUGUGAAAUGAUUUGGAUGAAAAUGAAGGAGGGCUGAUUUGUUGGUCUGCAGAGACACAGAAAUUGGUGCAGUUAUGGAUCGUGAGGAAAGUUGCCAAAGGAUUCAGCAGAACAUAGACAGGCUGGAAAGGUGGGCAGAGAAAUGGGAGAUAAGUCGGUGUACUCUGGGAAGUCAAAUGUCAGAGGAUUUCUUCGGAAUUCCUCUCCCCAUCAGAGUGGCUGGAAUUACAGUUACGGCAGUGACAUGCUCCACCUCAGGAUGUGGGAGUCACUCAGUGUCCCCGAUAACUUCACAUGAGGGAAGAGCACCGAGGUGCAGCUCCUGACUGACCGUGUGAAGGAAAUGAAGAUGGAGAUGGACAGACCGAGAGUUUCCAGGAUGCUGAGACCAGAGAUUCAUGAGUUGGUCACACCUAAGGUCAGGAUGCAGACUGUUGUGUGACCAUCACGACGGAAAGGGGAAGAGACAGACAGAGUAAUGUCUGCCUGUGGCCGUGACCCUCAGCAACAAGUAGACUCCUUUGGAUACCCCUGGGAUGAUGAACCAGAGACAGCAGCCCGCCAGGUCGGUGGUACUGAGACCCCAGACCGAUGCUCCGCGGGAGGAAUGGUCAAGCAGAGCAGUGAUGACAGCAGACUCACAGUACAGGGGAUGUGCAGGAGAUUCUGUGGCAGCAACAGAGAUGACACGAUGGUCUGUUGUCUUCUGGCUACUGGGGUCAGGUUCGUCUCAGAUGUGAAGGAUUUCCUAAAGAUAAACUUGCCAGUCGAGUCAGUGGUCAGUGGUUAGAACAAAGGUAAGGAGCAAAUUCCUUGGAAAAAGCUAGUGAAUCUGUGCUGCCUAUGUCAGGAUGUUGUUCAGUGACAAGAGAUCAGCAUUUAACACCGUCAUUUCCACAGUCCUGAUCAAUAAGCAAUGGAACCUGGUCCCUCUGCAAAUGGAUCCUCGACUUCCUAACUGGGAGACCACAAUCUGUGCGGAUUAGUGAUAAUCCACACAGAUUGUUCAUGGAGAUGGGCUAACCCCUAUGGACAUCAAUGGAUCUGGGGUUGAGAAGGUAAACAGCUUUAAAUUCCUCGACAUCAACAUACCCGAGGAUCUCACGUGGUCUAUACGUACCUGCUGAGUGGUGGAAAAGGCAAAACAGCGCCUCAUUCACCGCAGACAACUGAGGAAGUUUGCUCUGGGCCCCCAAAUCCUAAGUACUUUCUACAGGGGCACAACUGGGAGCAUCCCGACUGGCUGCAUCACUGCCUAGUAUGGGAACUGUACUUCCCUCAAUCGCAGGACUCUGCAGAGUGUGUUGCGGACAGCCCAGCGCAUCUGUAGUUGUGAGCUUCCCAUCAUUCAGGACAGUUUCAAAGACAGGUGUGAGAAAAGGGCCUGAAGGAUCAUUGUGGACCCAAGUCACCCCAAGCACAAUCUAUUCCAGCAGCAACCAUCUUUAUAUAUUAGCAUGUCCUGCAUUGAACUGCUGCUGCUAAAUUAACAAAUUUCCUGACACCUGCCGGUGGUAAUAAACCUGAUUCUGGUCCUGACUCUGAAAUCAUCCCCACAGACGGAUGUGACCGAUUCAUUGGGUAUAUUUAAUGUGGAGGUUCUCGAUUGUGGGUGUGGGGGGUGGAUAAGAGUGUUUCAGAGGGUUAAGAGAUCGGUCAUGAUCUCUUACACCUGGCAGAAUGGGGCAGCAGACUGGAUGGGCCAAAUGGCCUAAUUCUGCUGCUGUGUCUUAUGGUCCGAUGGUCUCGGAGCAGCUGCAGGACAUUUCAAAGGGAAGGUUGAGCAGCCGGACAUAGUGGUGGACGGUGCAUGUUGGUAGUAGCAAUGUAGGGAUACGAGGGUUGUGUCCUGUGCAGUGAAUUUAGAGAAAAUAGACAGAAACUAAGACGUGACAGGGUGGAGGUUGAAAGGGAAUCUGAAGGUUGAGUUGAUGGAGGUGGAUAAAAUUACGUGAGGCAUACAAAGGUUAGAGAGUCAGAGACUGUUUCCCGUGGUGUGGCUGUCUAAAGCUAUAGUUGUAAGGUGACAGGGGGUAGUUUAAAGGGGAUAUGAAGGGUAAAUAUUUGACACAGAGAAUAGCUGGUAUCCCGAAUGAGCUGCCAGAUGAGGUGGUGGAGGAAAAAAAAACAAAGUCUCUGUUGAUGAACACUUCCCAGGAACCUGACAUUACUCUGUUCAUCCUGCCCUGGUUUAACGUCCCGGUGCUGGGUCCGUUGUUGUUUUCAAUCUGUAUAAACGAUCUGGAUGAGAAUGUGGUAAACUGCAUCAGCAAAUUUGCAGAUGACAACAAGAUUAGGGGUAUGAUGGACAGCAAAGGUGGCUAGCAAAUCUUGAAGUGGGAAGUGAACUGGCUUGCAAAAUGAAGUUGGUUACAAUCUGGAACACACUUCCUGAGGGAGAGGUGCAGGCUGGUAUUUAAGGAACAUCUGGCUGAACAUUUGAAUCACCAGGACAGGGUAGGAGACAGACCAAGUGCUGAGUUAAUGGAGACAGAUUCUCGAUGGUCAGUAUAGACAUGCAGAAACCACUGACUGUGAAAGUUCAGUGGGAACCUGGAACACAGAACUUCAGGAUGGACUCACCUAAAAGACUCAGAACCCAGGACAAUGGAUUUCUGUUGGACAAAGGUAUUAAAGGUAUUAAGGUUAGUAGUGAAUCAAACCCCUCAAAAGGCUAUCAAAAUGCACCCAUACCUCAUGCACCACUAACAGUACUUUUAAAUGGGAAUUCGGUGAGGAACACUGGUUAAUAGCAGGAGAGAUGGCGGACAGCUUGGUCACAAUGGAAGGGUGCAAAUAUCUUCUCAGAGGAUAAGGGGUUCAGUGGAACAACCUCACAGCUGAGAAUGAAGGUAACAAACCCCACAGCAGUGGAGGACUGCUGUUGCCAGGGUUGGCCAGGAUAGAAACAGACCCUCUGGCCCAUCACAUUUAUGCUCCCCAUCAUGCACAGCUAUUCUAAUCCCACUUUCCUGCAUUAGUUUCAUAUCCCUCCAGGCCUUGCUCUCUGAACUGCCUGUGCAUGUGUCUCUAAUAUUGUUACACAGUUCCCUGUAUGUGGCAUCACACAGAGACAGGGUUGUGUGGUCUACUUGCCUUAUCAGCCAAAGAACUGCCUCUCAUUGGAAUUGUACAAAACUGUUUAAAGACAGAUUUAAAGGGAAUCUGAAGGGUACAUACUUCACACAGAGAAUAGCUGCUAUCCUAAAUCAGCUGCCGGCGGAGGUGUGGGGGCAGAAACCCGCAAAGUCUCUGAUCAUUAAACCUUCUCAAGAACCUGACAUUCACUGUGUACAUCCUGCCCUGGUUGAACCGCCCAGAAUAGAUACAGUGAUUCAUACAGAACUGAAACCGUCCCUUCGGUAAAACUCAUCGAGGCCGACCAAGUUGUCGACCUGAACUCGUCCCAUCCGCCUGCAUUAGGCCCGUGUCCCUCUCAACCUUUCCUAUCCAUGUAACUGUGCAAAUAUGGUUUGAAUAUUGUACCUGAGGCAGAGAGCCGGUGUGGUGAGGCGCUGACAGACACUCACUGUUCCGUGGGCAGGAAGAGGAGAGGCCGAUUCCCACAGUGGAGCCAAAACCCAAAGUAGAGACCGACUCCACUUUACCACAACCCCGUGCCCACCAUCCCGGACCGUUCCCAUGGAAACGACGUCGGUGACGAUGGGACCUCUGUGGCGUCUUCAUCUCGUCAUAAUCGCCGCACGGCAUCAUCGCAACACGGUGUCACGUGACGGGAGGCGGGGUCAGAGAGAACUGUCAAUCAGUGGUGCCACUGAGAAACUGAGAGCAUUGGAACACAGUAGGUACAGAGGGGCAUUUCCGGGAACAGUGACCCCACCCCCCACCCACGGGAAUUGAGUGUGUUAUAGACAGUAAUAUUCACAUUUUAAUUUGACUUUUCGGUCUUAUAAAUAGUUAAUGUUUGUAUUUUGUAUAAUCUUGUGUAUAUAAUCUUUUAUAAUUUGGGGUGAAAUAACGUUGUAUGUGGAUCACUGGACCUCUGCAUGAAAACAGAACGUUAUGGAGAAAUAAGUCAAAGUCAACAUUUUAAUCCAAAUUAAGUUAAUAGAAACGUAGAAAACCUCCAGCACAAUACAGACCCUUCAGCCCACAAAGUUGUGCUGAACAUGUCCCUACCUUAGAAGUUACUAGGCUUACCCAAAGCCCUCGAAGCUCCAUGUACCUCCAUGGACAUAGCUUUUUCUAAGCUCCAUGUACCUAUCUGAAAGUCUUUUAAAAGUCCUUAUCUUAUCCGCCUCCACCACCGUUGCCAGCAGCCCAUUCCACGCACUCACCACUCUCUGAAUGUAAAAACUUGCCACUGACAUCUCCUCAGUACCUACUCCCCAGCACCUUAAACCUGUGUCCACUUGUGGCAGCCAUUUCAGUCCUGGAAAAAGCCUCUGACUAUCCACACAAUCAAUGCCUCUCAUCAUCUUAUACACCUCUAUCAGGUCACCUCUCAUCCUCCGCCGCUCCAAGUAUAAAAGGCCAAGUUCACUCAACCUAUUCUCAUAAGGCAUGCUCCCCAAUCCAAGCAUCAUCCUUGUAAAUCUCACCUGAACCAUUUCUAUGGUUUCCAAAUCCUUCCUGUAGUGAGGCGAGCAGAAUUGAGCACAAUACUCCAAGUGGGAUCUGUCCAGGAUCUUAUAUAGCUGCAACAAUACCUCUCAGCUCCAAAGCUCAAUCCUACGAUUAAUGAAUAUCAAGGCACCGUAUGCCUUCUUAACCACAACGUCAGACUGCUUAGCAUCUUUUAGUGUCCUAUGGAUUCAGACCUCUGAUCCUCCACACUGCCAAGAGUCUUAUCAUUAAUGCUACAUUCUACCAUCAUAUUCAAACUACCAAAAUGAACCACAUCAUACCUUCCUGCCACUUCUCAGCCCAGAUUUGCAUCCUAUCAAUGUCCCGCUGUUACCUCUGACAGCACUCCACACUAUCCACAACACCCCCAACCUUUUGUGUUAUCAGCAGAUUCGCUAACACAUCCCUCCACUUCCUCAUCCAGGUCAUUUAUAAAAAUCACAAAGAGUAGGGGUCCCAGUACAGAUCUCUGGAGCACACCACUGUUCAUCAGCCUCCAUGUAGAAUAUACCAACUCUAUAACCAGUCUUUGCCUUCUGUGGGCAAACCAGUUCUGGAUCCACAAAGCAACGUCCCCUUGGAUCCCAUGCCUCCUUACUUUCUCAAUGUGCCUUGCAUUGUGUUCCUUAUCGAAUGCCUUGCUGAAUUCCAUAUACUCUACAUCUACGGCUCUGCCUUCAUCACUGUGUGCAGUCACAUCCUCAAAAAAUUCAACCAGGCUCGUAAGGCACGACCUGCCUUUCACAAAGUCAUGCUGAAAAUUCCUAAUCAUAUGAUGCCUUCAUAAAUCCUGCCUCUCAGUAUUUUCUCCAUCAACUUACUGACCUCUGAUGUAGACUCACUUCUUGAGACUUGCUCAGAGCACAGCAACGGUUCGAUUUUGUUUUGCAUCGGCCUUGUCUGAGAACCUGGACUUUGGAGUCAACUGACUUUGAAGACUCGCGCUAUUCGUUCAAUAAUUUGAUGUUCUUUUGAGCCCGUUACCUGUUUGAGAGUUUUGGUUACUAGUCCUGUUUUUGCCCAGCAUUUAUUGAUUUACUUUCAUUUGAACACUGUUCACAUGGAAGAUUUGUGAACUAUCAACCCACUUCAGUGUCUCUCACAUUGCACUUUGGCCAUAUCCAAACCAGGGCGACAAAACAAACCCCAUUUCAACAAUGUAUCGGAUUACUAAAAUAUCGCACCUUAGAAUUAAUGUCUUUGCUGAUGUAUGGAACCCACAGAUGAACCCAAUACUCUGAGAAACAGAGAAAAUGCUGAAUAGUUCUUGUCUGCUGAGUGACGUGCGUCUUCCUCACUGUCAGUUGCGGUUUUCACGUUCGUUUUCUUCCACACAACCCAAAACACCUUGACCUGUUACACAACCCCAAACCACACGCACUACCACCACAGUGUGUAAAAGGACAUACUCACCAGGACUCCUUCGCUUUCCUUCCCAAUAUAAGUCCAGGACUCGCUCACUUUCCUUCCCAAUAUAAGUCCAGGAUGAAAUCAGCCCGAUUCUACUGAAAUAGGAAAUUCCAUGUUCACUGGCAGGUUUGCAAAUGCUACAUUAUGUUGUUAUGCGGGCAGCCCCCUCCUUUGUGAGAAUUGCAAGAGCACUAGUUGGGCGGGGGUGGUGUCAGUAGACCCAGGAAAUGGGAGAGAGACAUGCUGGAUGCCUCGUUCCCCAGUGAUGCAAAAUAACGCAACAUUGACCAUUGUCUCCUGGAGACCACAUUUGUGGAUUGGGGACUAUGCUACGUGUAAGCCCUCGGGCAAAGUGGGCUGGUUGAGAAGAGAUUGCAUCAUCCCAACCUGAUUGAUAUCUGUGACCCCAUGAGGAAGUAUAAAAGAGGGUCUGGGGGAACAACCCCUUCAGACACACCAGAAGAAACGCUAAUGAUCCCGUAGUAGCGGGAAGCCAUUUGAAGGAAGCCACGUGCGUUCGAUUCCCCUUUGCUUUGGAGCCAGUGGCAGGUACCAUAGAACCGAUGUUCUUGAACUAACAACGGGAAACCAACUUUCCCGAUUCAACGGAUUUGCUUCUUAAAAGACCCGGGCAAGUUUCUUUUCUCACAAAUCUCUCUCUCUCUCUCUCCAACAAGUGAAAACCCAGCAGUCCCCAAAGGCUGAAGCCUGCAGGAACUGAGUGACUUUUAUAUUUCCAUCGGACAAAUUAUUAUCCCCUAGACAAACGAUCGAGCUGUUUCUUAUUGAUGGUUAUUAUUAGACCCACGCUUUUAGAUUGAGUAGUGACGAUGUAUAUUAUCUGAAUGUUUAUAUUAAUCUUAUUUUUGUGCCCCUUUAUA
RNA transcript from Hypanus sabinus (Atlantic stingray), 7771 nucleotides. It is a transcript of the gene named histone H3, with no coding region annotated. The transcript has 4 exons. Lineage: Eukaryota; Metazoa; Chordata; Chondrichthyes; Myliobatiformes; Dasyatidae. The record is from RefSeq and is a predicted model, not a curated record.